GGGUGAGUAACGCGUGGGUAACCUGCCUCAUACAGGGGGAUAACAGUUAGAAAUGACUGCUAAUACCGCAUAAGCGCACAGUGCUGCAUGGCACAGUGUGAAAAACUCCGGUGGUAUGAGAUGGACCCGCGUCUGAUUAGCUAGUUGGUGGGGUAACGGCCUACCAAGGCGACGAUCAGUAGCCGGCCUGAGAGGGUGAACGGCCACAUUGGGACUGAGACACGGCCCAAACUCC
RNAcentral lists this ribosomal RNA (235 nucleotides) under uncultured Lachnospiraceae bacterium. RNAcentral's name for it is "partial 16S ribosomal RNA". It matches the Rfam family "Bacterial small subunit ribosomal RNA", at positions 104 to 339 of the family's 1533-position model. The record is from RNAcentral. Lineage: Bacteria; Bacillati; Bacillota; Clostridia; Lachnospirales; Lachnospiraceae.